RNAcentral lists this ribosomal RNA (550 nucleotides) under uncultured bacterium. RNAcentral's name for it is "bacterial SSU rRNA". It matches the Rfam family "Bacterial small subunit ribosomal RNA", at positions 363 to 917 of the family's 1533-position model. The record is from RNAcentral.
UUUGCGCAUGGNCGACAGUCUGACGCAGCGACGCCGCGUGGGGGAUGAAGGUCUUCGGAUUGUAAACCCCUUUCGGGAGGGAAGAUGGAACGGGCAACCGUUCGGACGGUACCUCCAGAAGCAGCCACGGCUAACUUCGUGCCAGCAGCCGCGGUAAUACGAAGGUGGCAAGCGUUGUUCGGAUUCACUGGGCGUACAGGGAGCGUAGGCGGUUGGGUAAGCCCUUCGUGAAAUCUCCGGGCCUAACCCGGAAAGUGCGGAGGGGACUGCUCAGCUAGAGGAUGGGAGAGGAGCGCAGGAAUUCCCGGUGUAGCGGUGAAAUGCGUAGAGAUCGGGAGGAAGGCCGGUGGCNGAAGGCGGCGCUCUGGAACAUUUCUGACGCUGAGGCUCGAAAGCGUGGGGAGCAAACAGGAUUAGAUACCCUGGUAGUCCACGCCUUAAACGAUGGAUACUAANUGUCGGCGGGUUACCGCCGGUGCCGCAGCUAACGCAGUAAGUAUCCCGCCUGGGAAGUACGGCCGCAAGGUUGAAACUCAAAAAAAUUGACGGA